AUGGCCGGCAUGGUCCCAGCCUCCUCGCUGGCGCCGGCUGGGCAACAUUCCGAGGGGACCGCCCCCUCGGUAAUGGCGAAUGGGACCCA
Molecule: ribozyme, 89 nt
Filed under: Hepatitis delta virus
Lineage: Ribozyviria; Kolmioviridae
Description: Hepatitis delta virus ribozyme
Rfam family: Hepatitis delta virus ribozyme
About the family: The ribozyme acts to process the RNA transcripts to unit lengths in a self cleavage reaction.
Source: Rfam by way of RNAcentral